This 32-nucleotide transfer RNA is filed under the name Placobdella pediculata. RNAcentral describes it as "partial tRNA-Leu". Lineage: Eukaryota; Metazoa; Annelida; Clitellata; Rhynchobdellida; Glossiphoniidae. The record is from RNAcentral.
UUUAAACCCUAAAUAUGGUAAACCUCAUAUUA